Long non-coding RNA from Bolinopsis microptera, 788 nucleotides. RefSeq lists it as uncharacterized. The record is from RefSeq and is a predicted model, not a curated record. The transcript is spliced from 2 exons. Lineage: Eukaryota; Metazoa; Ctenophora; Tentaculata; Lobata; Bolinopsidae.
UGUUAGAAAAAAUAUAUGUACUUCCAAUCAAAUCGUGCAAUUUCCUUGGUACACAGGUGCACAUUCUUUGAUGCCCGAAAUGCAUUCCAAGCUCUAGAUAUCUGCCUUCAAUAAUGGCCUAUAAUCACAUUUGCCAAAAAACAGCUGCUUUGUAAUGCUGGUGUGUCCCACUUAGUUUGAUUAUCUUAGUUAAGCUGUAAUAUCGAACUCGAAGACCUGUUUCGUUAUUAUUUCUUGAAAUGCAGGUAUUUGAAGGUUUUGAAGCAAUUUUUUCAAUUAAUCUAUUUUCCUGGUGUAGAAACAGACCUAACUUGAUGUAUAUUGUUUAUUCUAAUUAAAGUAUAUUUGAAUUUAAAAUAUGAACUUCAAAUAUCAUUAUUUCUAGCUGAACCAGAAUUUCCUUUGGGACGAGAUGCUUUCCGGACAAACAUUAUUGUAUGCUGAUAUAAUAAUUAACAACCGAUCCUAUGGGCUGAAAUAUGUGUUAAAAGCUUGGAGCAAGACACAUUACGAUCGAUGGCGUUCGCUGACUGAUGCAUUGCUAUUUACUGCUGACUAGCUUAUCCUUCUGUUGCCUCUAAUCAGUGAUGAACACCAAUUAGAAUCAAUCGAUUUAAUUCACAGGAUAUUACGAUUGUUUACAAGGGCCCUAGCACCUGUAGUUUAAGUUAUUCGAUUCGAUUUUUAUUAAAUAACGCCGUUUUUCUUUUUCUGAUCUAUUAUUAGAGCUGUCAAUGUCUUCAUCUUAUAUUUAUUGCUGCGAUGUUUUACUUUAUUUUAUAUAUCAG